UACAGAGGUGGCAAGCGUUGUUCGGAAUUACUGGGCGUAAAGGGCGCGUAGGCGGUCUUGCAAGUCCCGUGUGAAAUCCCUCGGCUCAACUGAGGAACUGCACGGGAAACUGCUUGGCUUGAGUUCGGGAGAGGGAAGCGGAAUUCCGGGUGUAGCGGUGAAAUGCGUAGAUAUCCGGAGGAACACCGGUGGCGAAGGCGGCUUCCUGGACCGACACUGACGCUGAGGCGCGAAAGCUAGGGGAGCAAAC
RNAcentral lists this ribosomal RNA (250 nucleotides) under uncultured bacterium. Its description in RNAcentral is "partial 16S ribosomal RNA". It matches the Rfam family "Bacterial small subunit ribosomal RNA", at positions 524 to 773 of the family's 1533-position model. The record is from RNAcentral.